Oryzias melastigma (Indian medaka) is the source of this 225-nucleotide long non-coding RNA. RefSeq lists it as uncharacterized. The record is from RefSeq and is a predicted model, not a curated record. Lineage: Eukaryota; Metazoa; Chordata; Actinopteri; Beloniformes; Adrianichthyidae. The transcript has 3 exons.
AGACCAAAGAAGAGAAGGACUCUGAUUCAUCAAGCUCUGACAAGUCCAAGAAGCAUAAAGAGGAAUCUGAUUCUUCAAGUUCAGAAGAGACCAAAGAAGAGAAGGACUCUGAUUCAUCCAGCUCUGGUAAACAACAACAACGCACAACUAGAUAUACUAUAGCAUUACCUACGAUAAUCCUCGUGUGUUGGCCCCAAAUUUUCAGUUGAUGUAAAACUGGUCACA